AUCCGCACAGGUUAUCACGCUCUAGCAGGAACCUACAACACCUGCCUAAGCCGUCAACACUAGCAGGAACCUACAACAUCUGCACAGGUUAUCACACUCCAGCAGGAACCUACAACACCUGCCUAUGCCGUCAACACUAGCAGGAACCUACAACAUCGCACAGGUUAUCACACUCCAGCAGGAACCUACAACACCUGCCUAUGCUGUCAACACUAGCA
This 218-nucleotide long non-coding RNA is filed under the name Pan troglodytes (chimpanzee). RNAcentral describes it as "long non-coding RNA NONPTRT004626". Lineage: Eukaryota; Metazoa; Chordata; Mammalia; Primates; Hominidae. The record is from RNAcentral.